GAUGAACGCUGGCGGUAUGCUUAACACAUGCAAGUCGAACGGUCACUUCGGUGAUAGUGGCGGACGGGUGAGUAACGCGUGAGAAUCUGUCUUCAGGUCGGGGACAACAGUUAGAAAUGACUGCUAAUACCGGAUGUGCCUUUGGGUGAAAGAUUUAUUGCCUGAAAAAGAGCUCGCGUCAGAUUAGCUAGUAGGUGGUGUAAGAGACUACCUAGGCUCCGAUCUGUAGCUGGUCUGAGAGGACGAUCAGCCGCACUGGAACUGAGACACGGUCCAGACUCCUACGGGAGGCAGCAGUGGGGAAUUUUCCGCAAUGGGCGAAAGCCUGACGGAGCAAUACCGCGUGAGGGACGAAGGCUUUUGGGUCGUAAACCUCUUUUCUCAAGGAAGAUGAUGACGGUACUUGAGGAAUAAGCAUCGGCUAACUCUGUG
RNAcentral lists this ribosomal RNA (432 nucleotides) under uncultured bacterium. Its description in RNAcentral is "partial 16S ribosomal RNA". It matches the Rfam family "Bacterial small subunit ribosomal RNA", at positions 28 to 507 of the family's 1533-position model. The record is from RNAcentral.